AGUGAACGCUGGCGGUAGGCCUAACACAUGCAAGUCGAACGGCAGCACAGUAAGAGCUUGCUCUUACGGGUGGCGAGUGGCGGAUGGGUGAGGAAUACAUCGGAAUCUACUUUUUCGAGGGGGAUAACGUAGGGAAACUUACGCUAAUACCGCAUACGACCUACGGGUGAAAGCAGGGGAUCUUCGGACCUUGCGCGAUUGAAUGAGCCGAUGUCGGAUUAGCUAGUUGGCGGGGUAAAGGCCCACCAAGGCGACGAUCCGCAGCUGGUCUGAGAGGAUGAUCAGCCACACUGGAACUGAGACACGGUCCAGACUCCUACGGGAGGCAGCAGUGGGGAAUAUUGGACAAUGGGCGCAAGCCUGAUCCAGCCAUGCCGCGUGGGUGAAGAAGGCCUUCGGGUUGUAAAGCCCUUUUGUUGGGAAAGAAGAGCAGCAGGUUAAUACCCCGCUGUUCUGACGGUACCCAAAGAAUAAGCACCGGCUAACUUCGUG
RNAcentral lists this ribosomal RNA (492 nucleotides) under uncultured bacterium. RNAcentral describes it as "partial 16S ribosomal RNA". It matches the Rfam family "Bacterial small subunit ribosomal RNA", at positions 29 to 507 of the family's 1533-position model. The record is from RNAcentral.